Molecule: non-coding RNA, 2558 nt
Organism: Phoenix dactylifera (date palm)
Lineage: Eukaryota; Viridiplantae; Streptophyta; Magnoliopsida; Arecales; Arecaceae
Source: RefSeq, a predicted model, not a curated record
CCCCCCCCCAAAUGGCUGCUGCUCUCCUCAAACCACACCAGUACCAGCCACUAUCCCUCGCUCUCUCCCCCUCCCUCCCUCCAUCUCCCUCUGUCUUCCUCUCUCUCCUCCCUCUCUCCCUCUUCUCCCCGUUUUCAUUUGCCCCGAACGGCAAAUAUGUACUCGUACGAUGCCGAGCCAGUCGCCUACCGAUACAACCCCUGGUACUGGCUUGGCAAGCCUUGCUUGAAGGUGCCUAUCAGGUGACAAACAAACACCCUCUCGUAGAUACUUAUUGAAAAUUGUUCUUGCAUUGGGUUUUCUAUCAGCAUAGUGUUUUAUUUGCUUAGCUAUUCUAAAUCUGAUCUCGACUUUAUUAUUUUCGAGCAUUAUUUUAGCUCUCAAGGCCCAGUUCACAUUGAAUAUUAGGACCUUCAAGUGGAAAGAUGCUCAAAGCCUGCCUUUUAUUUUUCAAUCUUUGCUCUCACUAUUUAAAUGUUUGUGCAUUGCAUUAUCUUAGGACAACACAAAGAGUCUAACCUCUUUAGGUUGUUCUAUGUAACUUGCACAAGGUGAUCGCUGUUGUAAGUUUGAGAUUCAUCAGCACCAAACUAGGAAUCGUUUUGGCAUUGUCAGUGCUCACUUUGCCAAGUAUUUGUGUCAGAUGAGUAGGAACCAAAAGUAACAUGAAUGCAAGUUGGGAGGAAGGAUUUAAAAAAGGCUUGCAAUGAUACUGAGGUUACUUUAUUAGAAAUGGUUGGCAAAAUUUCACUCACCGAAUAGCUGGGGCAAGGCUUAGGGAAUAUGCUAUGGUUUGUUUAUGAAGAUUGUCUCUUAAAAAACAUGUAAGUCGGUGAAUGAAGAACUCUGCCAUAAAACUGGAUGUCAAUCAUUAGUGGACAAUAAUAUGAUAACAAGUCUGUCUUGGAAGGCUCUCCCAUACCCAUUACAUAUGCUAACCCUUGUUCCAUAAUCAUAUAGGCUAAUAUAAAAUUCCAUCAUUGUGACUCCACAAAAAUUCCUAGAACUUUGAAAGGAUGAGGUUUAAAGAGCUAUAUUAGGAUGCAAAAGCAGAAGAAGGUGAUGCUUAUCACAUGACAGUUUGUACAUUCCAACUUCCAUAAUGUUCAAGCACAUAUAAUCAAACAAAAACUGCACUUAUAACUAGCAUAAAAUUAUUAGCAUCACACCUAUAGCUAUAAGUGCAGUGUAAUAUAGUUCAGGAAAUAUGAUAAACAUUUUUUCAUGAAUGGUAAAACAGAUAAGCUCUGAAAGAAUAAAGUCGCCAAAUAACAAAUUAACAACAUAACAAGACAAACAAAAAUAAAAUAAGAUGCAGGACAAUGGAUGAAAAAAUAUACACCACAAAUUGUAGAACUUUUGAUCGUCCAGCAGCUGCAAUAGAUGUAUCCAAAUGCCACUCAUUUGAAUUUACCUGUAAAUUUUGUCUCAAAACCACUUUCAGAAUUUUGCAAAGAGAAAAAUAUCUUAAAACAGAAGGUUGAAGAUAUACUAAGGAAAUAACAGAAAAGUAUCGUAAUAUACAAAACACAACAUUUGAAAGGCAAGAAUUGCAUCCUCAAGGAAAAUAUUUAAGAAGCUUGUUUACAUUUUUUAUAAAUUUUAUUUAUAAUCCCUAUACUAGUGAAAGUACAUUCUGGCAAUAUAGCUCAGCAUUUCAUCUGUUUAAAUUGGUGAAUCGGCAAAUUGUAGCUUUCCACAAAAUUUGACAAUAUGUUGCUUUCAUCUACUCCGCAUAGGUUGUGAUAUGAUAUGCUAGAAUAUAGAAGAAAGUUCGAAGGUGAAAAGAUCUUACAUUCCCAAAGCCCCCUAACAAGGCAGAUAAUAGAAGUCCAUUGAUAAAAAAAGUUCCACCAAGUAUCCAAGAAAAUAAAAUUAUAAAAGCAGAACUGCAAUAACUGCUAUCAUUUCAUCCAAAAAGACAAACCACUGACUCCAUGUUUGAGAAUGCACAGUUAAUAUUCGUGAACCCCUAAUAAUUUGGCCCAUAAGAAUAUUUUCUUACUCGAUUGACACAAGUCACUGUAUCCUCCAAUUUCCAGUUAAAAACUAUAAUUUCACCACCAUAAAAUCUCAUGUGACAUUAAUUUCGAAAUUGCAAGAUUCUCCUUCAUAGAUUUCCUUUUCACCCUUCCUUUAGAGCUGCAAGGACACAGAUGGAAAACACCAACUUGUAGCUUAAUUUUUGAAGAUCUUACACCUAACUCCAGAGUCAGAUUAAGUGAAUCAUCUUCCACACUGCCAAGCUUGCAAUUUUAUAGCCUUAGUCUAAAAUAUGCCGCUCAGAACUACACUUUGAUUUUCAAGGGGACAUGAGAUGAGGAUAGAUUCCUACUAUCAGAAAAUAAGUCUCCCAUUUCAGAAACAUAACCAAUUUAGUUACAGAUAAUCCUUCCUGGGUCCAUCAUCAAAUGCACUGACUGCCAGAGCCAGCUGUAUGCCUUAAAAACAAGCUAAGAAGCUAGGGAAGUAUACAUGCGUCUGUAUAGAUAAACAUACAUUAUACAUGUAAUAAUUAGUAACCCAGGACCUUUUCUCUAGCACAAAAAAGAAAAAGA